UACGUAGGGAGCAAGCGUUGUCCGGAAUCAUUGGGCGUAAAGCGCGCGUAGGUGGCUUCGUAAGUCCGUUGUGAAAGUCAAAGGCUCAACCUUUGAAAGCCGAUGGAUACUGCGGAGCUAGAGUCCGGAAGAGGAGAGUGGAAUUCCCGGUGUAGCGGUGAAAUGCGCAGAUAUCGGGAAGAACACCCGUGGCGAAGGCGGCUCUCUGGGACGGUACUGACGCUGAGACGCGAAAGCGUGGGGAGCAAACAGG
This 253-nucleotide ribosomal RNA is filed under the name uncultured bacterium. RNAcentral describes it as "partial 16S ribosomal RNA". It matches the Rfam family "Bacterial small subunit ribosomal RNA", at positions 524 to 776 of the family's 1533-position model. The record is from RNAcentral.